GAUGAAGAACGCAGCGAAAUGCGAUAAGUAAUGUGAAUUGCAGAAUUCAGUGAAUCAUCGAAUCUUUGAACGCACAUUGCGCCCGCCAGUAUUCUGGCGGGCAUGCCUGUUCGAGCGUCAUUUCAACCAUCAAGCCCCCGGCUUGUGUUGGGGACCUGCGGCUGCCGCAGGCCCUGAAAACCAGUGGCGGGCUCGCUAGUCACUCCGAGCGUAGUAAUACAUCUCGCUCAGGGCGUGCUGCGGGUUCCGGCCGUUAAAAGCCUUAUUUACCCAAGGUUGACCUCGGAUCAGGUAGGAAGACCCGCUGAACUUAAGCAUAUCAAUAAGCGGAGGGA
Molecule: unclassified non-coding RNA, 335 nt
Filed under: soil metagenome
Description: partial contains 5.8S ribosomal RNA, internal transcribed spacer 2, and large subunit ribosomal RNA
Rfam family: 5.8S ribosomal RNA (bases 1-120)
Source: RNAcentral